GCCAGUAUGGUGGAUAUGAUCCUCGGCUUGUAACCGAGUGGGUUCGGGUUCGAAUCCCGAGUAAGGUA
This 68-nucleotide transfer RNA is filed under the name Trichonephila inaurata madagascariensis. RNAcentral describes it as "tRNA-Thr". The record is from RNAcentral. Lineage: Eukaryota; Metazoa; Arthropoda; Arachnida; Araneae; Nephilidae.